RNAcentral lists this small RNA (126 nucleotides) under Salmonella enterica. RNAcentral's name for it is "RtT sRNA". It matches the Rfam family "RtT RNA". From Rfam's summary of the family: This family represents a bacterial cis-regulatory element known as RtT RNA. The exact function of RtT is unknown although it is thought that it may be involved in changing the cellular response in relation to amino acid starvation. The record is from RNAcentral. Lineage: Bacteria; Pseudomonadati; Pseudomonadota; Gammaproteobacteria; Enterobacterales; Enterobacteriaceae.
UUGCUAUCUGCGAUAUGGAAGAUUCGAACCUGCCGCAGGUUCGGGUCGAACACAGUGAGACAACGGAGCCGUUUACGGCGACGGCCCGAAGGGCGAGCGAAGCGAGUCAUCCUGCACGACCCACCA